GGGAAGCCAGAAUUACUUGCAGGAGUAACCUAGUGCCUAUAGCUAUGGCAGGUACCUGCAUCCUUGUUUUUGUUUAGUGGAUCCUCUAUCCUUCAGAGACUCUGGAACCCCUGUGCUCUUCUCCUCAUCUAGUGACCCUGAGGUGAUGGAGUUUUCAAGUCCUUCCAGAGAGGAAUGUCCCAAGCCUUCGGGUAGGGUGGUGCCCCUGCAUCCCUAAAAGCUUCAGUACAGCUCGGUGGUCUGUGUCUGCAAUGCCACAUACUGUGACUCUUGACCCCCCGACCUUUCCUGCCCUAGGUGCCUUCAGCCGCUACAAGAGCAGAAGCAGUGGGCAUUGGAUGGAGCUGAGUACAGGACCAUACAGGCUAAUUGCACCGGCACAGGAAUCGGAUAUAACAUCAUCUGGGUACCCAUGGCCAGCUGUGACUUCUCCAUCCGCACCUACACCUAUGCAGACACCCCUGAUGAUUUCCAGUUGCACAACUUCAGCCUCCCAGAGGAAGAUACCAAGCUCAAGAUACCCCUGAUUCACCGAGCCCUGCAGUUGGCCCAGCGUCCCGUUUCACUCCUUGCCAGCCCCUGGACAUCACCCACUCGGCUCAAGACCAGGGGAGCGGGGAAUGGGAAGGGGCCACUCAAGGGACAGCCCAGAGACAUCUACCACCAGACCUGGGCCAGAUACAUUGUGAAGUUCCUGGAUGCCUAUGCUGAGCACAAGUUACAGUUCUGGGCAGUGACAGCUGAAAAUGAGCCUUCUGCUGGGCUGUUGAGUGGAUACCCCUUCCAGUGCCUGGGCUUCACCCCUGAACAUCAGCGAGACUUCAUUGCCCGUGACCUAGGUCCUACCCUUGCCAACGGUACUCACCACAAUGUCCGCCUACUCAUGCUGGAUGACCAACGCUUGCUGCUGCCCCACUGGGCAAAGGUGGUACUGACAGACCCAGAAGCAGCUAAGUAUGUUCAUGGUAUUGCUGUACAUUGGUACCUGGACUUUCUGGCUCCAGCCAAAGCCACCCUAAGGGAGACACACCACCUGUUCCCCAACACCAUGCUCUUUGCCUCAGAGGCCUGUGUGGGUUCCAAGUUCUGGGAGCAGAGUGUGCGGCUAGGCUCCUGGGAUCGAGGGAUGCAGUACAGCCACAGCAUCAUCACAUGUUGCGCCUUUGUCUCCUUGCCUUUGUCCUUACCCUAGAACCUCCUGUACCAUGUGGUCGGCUGGACCGACUGGAACCCAUCAUUGUAGACAUCACCAAGCACACGUUUUACAAACAGCCCAUGUUCUACCACCUUGGCCACUUCAGCAAGUUCAUUCCUGAGGGCUCCCAGAGAGUGGGGCUGGUUGCCAGUCAGAAGAACGACCCGGACGCAGUGGCACUGAUGCAUCCCGAUGGCUCUGCUGUUGUGGUCGUGCUAAACCGCUCCUCUAAGGAUGUGCCUCUUACCAUCAAGGAUCCUGCUGUGGGCUUCCUGGAGACAAUCUCACCUGGCUACUCCAUUCACACCUACCUGUGGCGUCGCCAGUGAUGGAGCAGAUACUCAAGGAGGCACUGGGCUCAGCCUGGGCAUUAAAGGGACAGAGUCAGCU
Homo sapiens (human) is the source of this 1585-nucleotide long non-coding RNA. Ensembl annotates it as glucosylceramidase beta 1 like, pseudogene. Its record names the gene GBA1LP. The record is from Ensembl. Lineage: Eukaryota; Metazoa; Chordata; Mammalia; Primates; Hominidae.